Molecule: long non-coding RNA, 378 nt
Filed under: Amborella trichopoda
Lineage: Eukaryota; Viridiplantae; Streptophyta; Magnoliopsida; Amborellales; Amborellaceae
Description: long non-coding RNA (ATRI_LNC003475)
Source: RNAcentral
UUAAUUUUAUAACUAAAUAUAAAAAUAUAAUUUGAGGCUAUCACAAAACUUACCAUUAUUGAAACCAUAUUUCUCAGCACUAUUUGAAGGUGGGCUCUAAUUUGAUUGUUUAUAACUCAUCCUCAAUUUGUAAUGUUAAUAUUUGAAAAUCUUCAAUACUGGGUUCAAGAGUAUUUGCUAUACUUGAUUCAGGGGUAUAUGUAGGAAUAACAACAUGAUCAGUUGUUCUUCGUAUCCCUUGAAAUUGUAAAUCUGAAUGAGGUAUUGAUGAAGAAGAUUGAGUAGAAGGUAGUAUAAUAACAUCAGGAUUAGUAGAAUAAGAUUUUCUAAUUGGUAUUUUAUUCCUUAUAUUCCUUUUUCUAUUAAUAUUAAUGUUAU